This 641-nucleotide ribosomal RNA is filed under the name Staphylococcus sp. RNAcentral describes it as "bacterial SSU rRNA". It matches the Rfam family "Bacterial small subunit ribosomal RNA", at positions 55 to 675 of the family's 1533-position model. Lineage: Bacteria; Bacillati; Bacillota; Bacilli; Caryophanales; Staphylococcaceae. The record is from RNAcentral.
CUGCAAGUCGAGCGACAGACGAGGAGCUUGCUCCUCUGACGUUAGCGGCGGACGGGUGAGUAACACGUGGAUAACCUACCUAUAAGACUGGGAUAACUUCGGGAAACCGGAGCUAAUACCGGAUAAUAUAUUGAACCGCAUGGUUCAAUAGUGAAAGACGGUUUUGCUGUCACUUAUAGAUGGAUCCGCGCCGCAUUAGCUAGUUGGUAAGGUAACGGCUUACCAAGGCAACGAUGCGUAGCCGACCUGAGAGGGUGAUCGGCCACACUGGAACUGAGACACGGUCCAGACUCCUACGGGAGGCAGCAGUAGGGAAUCUUCCGCAAUGGGCGAAAGCCUGACGGAGCAACGCCGCGUGAGUGAUGAAGGUCUUCGGAUCGUAAAACUCUGUUAUUAGGGAAGAACAAAUGUGUAAGUAACUAUGCACGUCUUGACGGUACCUAAUCAGAAAGCCACGGCUAACUACGUGCCAGCAGCCGCGGUAAUACGUAGGUGGCAAGCGUUAUCCGGAAUUAUUGGGCGUAAAGCGCGCGUAGGCGGUUUUUUAAGUCUGAUGUGAAAGCCCACGGCUCAACCCGUGGAGGGUCAUUGGAAACUGGAAAUCUUGAGUUGNANAAGNGGAAAAGUGGAAUUCCAUUGUG